UCUCCCACCCAGGUGGCCCUGAGCAAUGGCCCGGAGGUGAGCCCAGAGCUGGCCCUGAGGUGGCCCUGAGAAGAAGUGGAAGGCAGAGGUGGUGCUGAGGCAGGAGAGCCCCGUGCUGGGGAAGAGGCUGAGCUGGGAGUGCCCAGCAGCGAGAAGGUGCUGUGUGCAUGCCCUGUGUGCCAGGAUUUGUCCUUCCCAAAGCUUGGGUGGAUGGAGGAGGAGGCUGCGAGGAAGAGGAAGAUGCCGCGGGCCCCCCAGGCAGGCCCCGAGCUGAGGACGGAGAGCACGGAGGACAAAUCCCCCCGGCAGAGCCUGGUGGGAGAGGCCGUUUUGAAGGGCUCCCCGGUGCAGGAAGGCAGCGGGGAGGAAAAGGCAUGGAGAUGCCCCCGGAGGAGGGGCUGCAAAGCCAGCCCAGGGAGCUCUGAGGAGGAAAGACCCGUCCUGUGCCAGGAAGGCGGCCGGAGCUUGAGCCGGAGCUCGGAGCUGGUGGUCCCUGAGCAGCCUCCCAGCAGGGAGAAGCCCUUUAAGUGCUUGGAAUGUGGGAAGAGCUUCAGGGAGAGCUCCAACCUCCUCACCCACAUGCACAUCCACACUGGGGCACGGCCCUACACGUGUAGGGAAUGUGGAAAGAGCUUCACUCAGAACUCCACCCUGAUCCAACACAAGCACAUCCACACUGGGGAACGGCCCUACACGUGUGGGGAAUGUGGGAAGAGCUUCAGGGAUAGCUCUGCCCUGAUCAAACACCAGCGCAUCCACACUGGAGAACGACCCUACAAGUGCUUGGAAUGUGGGAAGAGCUUCAGGGACAGCUCCCACCUGAUCCGACACCAGCUCAUCCACACCGGUGAACGACCCUACAAGUGCUUGGAAUGUGGGAAGAGGUUUCAGCCCAGCUCAACUCUCCUCAGGCAUGAGCGGACACACACAGAUGAGAGGCCCUUCCGCUGCACCGACUGUGGGAAGGGCUUCAACCGGAACUCCACCCUCAUCACCCACCGGCGCAUCCACACCGGGGAGAGGCCCUACAAGUGUGGGGAGUGUGGGAAGAGCUUCAGCGACAGCUCUGUCUUUAGCAGACACCAACGGACCCACCGGUAAGGGAAGCCCCUCUGAGUGCCCCGACUGCGGGAAGAGCUUUGGCCGCUGCUCCGGCUCCAUCACCCAUCGGAGAACCCGCCUUGGGAACAGCCUUUUGGGGACCCACAUUCCCGGUGACCCUCCUUGGGAACAGCCUUUUGGGGACCCACAUUCCCUGGUGACCCUCCUUGGAACAGCCUUUUUGGGGACCCACAUUCCCUGGUGACCGUCCUUGGGAUCAGCCUUUUUGGGGACCCACAUUCCCGGUGACCCACCUUGGGAACAGCCUUUUGGGGACCCACAUUCCCGGUGACCCUCCUUGGAACAGCCUUUUUGGGGACCCACAUUCCCUGGUGACCCUCCUUGGGAUCAGCCUUUUUGGGGACCCACAUUCCCGGUGACCCUCCUUGGGAUCAGCCUUUUGGGGACCGACAUUCUUGGUGACCCUCCUUGGGAUCAGCCUUUUGGGGACCCACAUUCCCUGGUGACCCUCCUUGGGAACAGCCUUUUGGGGACCCACAUUCCCGGUGACCCCUGUUUGGGGUUUAUUGCCGUGCCGCGAAUGGUUCUGUUUGAGAUGGUUUUGUUUUUUUCUUCCUUCCGAUCGUUCGUAAA
Myiozetetes cayanensis is the source of this 1695-nucleotide RNA transcript. It is a transcript of the gene named zinc finger protein 239-like, with no coding region annotated. The record is from RefSeq and is a predicted model, not a curated record. The transcript has 4 exons. NCBI's taxonomy places the organism in Eukaryota, Metazoa, Chordata, Aves, Passeriformes, Tyrannidae.